AAACCAGGGGAAGCAAGCCAGUAAAGAACAUCCCUCCAUGGCUUCUGCAUCAGCUCCUGCUUCCUGACCUGCUUGAGUCCCAGUCCUGACUUCCUUUGGUGAUGAACAGCAACAUGGAAGUGCCUUUUGAGAAGGUGAAUCAGCGUGUGUUAGCUCAGGGCAGAGGGCCUGGCGGUGAGACGUGAGAACAGCCAAUGUCAUGGCGGUGGGGGAGUGGACGUGAGCCAUCUGGGGCCCAGCAAACAGCAUGUUGAAAAAAACGAGGAACUCAAAGGCAGAUGAGCCUACCACGCUGGGAACAGUUGGGAGUACAUUGCUCAAGCCCCGGCCAGUUUUAUGUCACUGCUGGUGUGAAGCAGUGAACAGUGACCCAGCAUGCAUCCAGGUGGCGGGACAGAGUCAGACUCUCCAGGGCAGAGAGACUCUAAAACUGACGGCCAGGUCUUGCUCAGACUACGGGCCUGAGGGAAGAUCCAAGACUGAAACAGGUGCCGGAGAUUACAUCCAGGUUGCUGGUCUUGGUGGUGAACAAUACCCUUGCUUACCCCCAAGCCUUCUCACUAACCCUGACGCUCUUUAUACAGGGCUUGGAAUGGAGGGGGUGGAGUUGAGGAGAUCACAGAGGACCUAGGAGUGUGUGUAUCGGAGAGAGAUAGGAAACCACUGACCGUUCAGCACACAUUCAGAAUUACUGCCUGUCCCAGGGAGGGACCCACAGCUCCGGCGCUCCGUUCAGCAUCUGGAAGAGCAUAGCUCGCUGUGAGCGGCCGCCCCAGAAGACUGUAUCCCACCCAGCCAGCUCUCCUGCCUGCUUGCCUCUGCCCCACACCAGGACACUUCAUACUGUCAGAACCACUGGGUGUGUGAGCUUGUGAGAGGGUGUGUGGGCACACAUGUCCCUGUGUGGGGUGUGGAGGUCAGAGGGCAACUUGGAGGAAUUGGUUCUCUCCUUCCACCACUGGGGCCCAGGAAUCAAGCCGAGGUUCCCAGACGUGGUAGCAGCCUCCCUUACCUGUUAAACCAGUGCUUCCCAGACUUCCUAAUGCUGUGACCUCAUGCUGUGCUGACCCCCGCCCAUGACAUUAUCUCUGUUGGUAUUUUAUAACUGUAAUUUUGCUACUAUUAUGAAUCACAAU
RNAcentral lists this long non-coding RNA (1136 nucleotides) under Mus musculus (house mouse). RNAcentral describes it as "predicted gene, 19696". The record is from RNAcentral. Lineage: Eukaryota; Metazoa; Chordata; Mammalia; Rodentia; Muridae.